GUAGGUGGCAAGCGUUGUCCGGAAUUAUUGGGCGUAAAGCGCGCGCAGGCGGUUUUUUAAGUCUGAUGUGAAAGCCCACGGCUCAACCGUGGAGGGUCAUUGGAAACUGGAGAACUUGAGUACAGAAGAGGAAAGCGGAAUUCCACGUGUAGCGGUGAAAUGCGUAGAGAUGUGGAGGAACACCAGUGGCGAAGGCGGCUUUCUGGUCUGUAACUGACGCUGAGGCGCGAAAGCGUGGGGAGCAAACAGGGAUUAGAUACCCUGGUAGUCCACGCCGUAAACGAUGAGUGCUAAGUGUUAGGGGGUUUCCCGCCCCUUAGUGCUGCAGCUAACGCAUUAAGCACUCCGCCUGGGGAGUACGGCCGCAAGGCUA
RNAcentral lists this ribosomal RNA (373 nucleotides) under uncultured organism. RNAcentral's name for it is "partial 16S ribosomal RNA". It matches the Rfam family "Bacterial small subunit ribosomal RNA", at positions 527 to 896 of the family's 1533-position model. The record is from RNAcentral.